Molecule: non-coding RNA, 3973 nt
Organism: Pelodiscus sinensis (Chinese soft-shelled turtle)
Lineage: Eukaryota; Metazoa; Chordata; Testudines; Trionychidae
Source: RefSeq, a predicted model, not a curated record
GCCAAGAAGAAGAGGAAAAGGUGCGGGGUCUGCGUGCCCUGCAAGAGGCUCAUCAACUGUGGCGUCUGCAGCAGCUGCAGGAACCGCAAAACGGGACACCAGAUCUGCAAAUUUAGGAAAUGUGAGGAGCUAAAGAAAAAACCUGGCACUUCACUAGAGGCAUAUGAUGUAACUCUCCAGAGAACACCUGUUCCCAGCGCUGAAGCAUUCCGAUGGUUCUUUUAAGCAGUAGUUUAUCUUAUUUUCAAGACAGUCCGAAGUGAAUGGCAAGCUAAAGUCUUGUUUUAAGAAACUGCUUAGUCCACCAUUGAAGAAUAUACUCAGAUACUAUUUUCAUUUAUGUAUAGGGGUUUCCUCAAAAACAAAACAUAAACAAUCUGGGAGGCUGGAGAAUUGACCAGUUUAUUCACAUUCAGUACACUGAAUCUUUAUUUGAUGUAAUUUAGCUAUACUAGUGAAGUUGUUGUCUAUUUUUAAAGUGGCUGUAAAAAAAAGUUUGGGUAAACCCCUGCUAUAAAAUCAUGUAUCUUUGAAAAGUAACAUAUCUAUACUUCAUUUUCAAAUAUAUGUGUUUCAGUACUGUAAACUGUACAGAUAGCAGCUUGUAUUUUGUGUGUUUAGACACAAGGAGACAAUCAUGUCUGAGCAUCUAUGGAGAUUAACAGUUUGUACACAACAGUGUGGUUCUGCAAGUUAAAUCUGGAGCAAUAAAUUCUAGCUUUAAAUAUUAUUUUGCUGAUUAUUUAGCAGCAGCACUGUUUUACCAUGCAUCCUUCCAUAGAGACUUGAUGCCAAGUUUUAUAAGAUUAAAGGAUUAUGAUACAUCUAGCAAUUACCUUCAGUUAUAUUGUUGUAAGAGGGGAAGACAUAAGAUCUAAAAUCAGUCUUUUUGAGCACUAUUUUAGAGUAGUGAUUGUGCACUUGCGUUACUUCCAAAAGAGCUUUACAGAAAGUUAUCCCUCCAAAGUAACACACCGUAGUUGACUUGCUUUUGACUGUACUGUAAGGUGAAAUGCGCAGCAUAGAUGGACAUGUGAACAUGAGGAGUGAAUAAUUUAUAUAUAGCGUGUUCUAGCAUACACAAUGAAAAGAGUACAAUAUCUGAGAAAAAUCUUAUCACUCAAUGUAUUUACCUUCCCACAAAGAGUUGCUAUGUAGGUUUUUCAAUAGAUGGAAUUAAAAUUUUAUAAAAUAUAUGAAAAUAUUUUCGCUCCAUGUGCAACAUUUAGUGAUUAGAGUUGUUUAUAAAAUUUAGACAGGCUUGGAUCUCUCCUGCAGUUGUGCAGGCCAUCAGAGCCUGGGUAUUUUUUAAAUAUAUAAGAAAACCCCACAUUUUUUAAAGAGUAACUAUUUGUCCCCGUGCAUCUUUCUUUAUCCACUGAUCUUGGCCUUGCUGAAUCACUGGUGGUCCUUUGGGCUCCCAGUGAAAUGCUUUACCAUUCUUUCUCCUGUUUAGGUAUACAGAACAUUUACUCAAAAGGGCAGAGCUUGGAGUUACAUAACUCAGAUGUAAUACAAGGAUAUGAAGCAUACUGAGCUUACGUACACUUCAUACAGAUUACCUCAUCACCUAUUUAUAGCUCAGCUUUGUUUUCACUCAUAUGAAAAGGCCGUCCUACGCAAGUAAGAGAAUGCUGCUCCACCAUGUAUUGAAUGUGUUUGUUUCUUGUAUACAUGAUAGAACGAUAAAUGCUGGUAGCCUUGCAGAACAGAACAGGCUAAGGAUGCAGUGUGUGUGCCAAUAGCAUAGCAUAUCAGCACUUUCUCCAUUAUCUGCUAGUUGUUGCACACUGUUGGCACAUGAUCACCCUCACUUGCUUGAUGAAUCCUGGGGAGCUAGAGAAGCAGCAGAGAGUGCAACUGUGGAGAGUCAGAGCUCUGGGAGAGCCUGAGGACUGAGGAACCAUGGCAAUGGUCAAGAAAACUAAGAGUAGUGGAUGGCAGAAGAAUCCUAGAAUUGUCUGUGAAGAAUCAAGGCUCAGUAGUAUGAGGGGCUGGACAAGAGCCUUCAGAAGGCUGGUGUGUUGGGCUGGAGGAGUUAGCAUGUGCAUUCUAACCAUUAGGGCUGACACCUACAUCCCGGGUUCUGUGUAGCAUGACAUCUUAUAUGUAAUUUCAGAAAAUAAAUGCUAUCUUUCAUGUGCUCCCAACAUGGGCCCCCUCUUAUAGUUUAUAAAAGAUCAUUAAUUACAUAAUCAUAAAAUAAGCUUUAUAUUCAUUUACUUGGCAGCAUUGUACCUGAUGUUAUUUCAUUUAGGACUUUCUGAUUAAGACCUCUGUUACUGCUGACCAAUGAGAGCUACAUAAGGUCUUCUUUACCAAAUUAAUUGAUUUAAAAACUGAAGACUUAUUUGCACAUCUGGCUGGUGAGCUUGCCUUGUUUUUUUGGGAAAAUAGUGAUUGCUCUGACAGAAGUAGAGAUAAAAUUCAGUUGAGGCUACAUUAGGUGUACAAAGAUACUGAUAGCAAUGUACUUAAUUGUCUAAUACCCUAAUGUUGCAUGUCUUGAUGUGGUUUUUUUUUUGUUUGUUUUCUUGUUUUGUUUUCAAGAACUGAUGGAUCUGUAUAUGUAAUUGUGGUGUUUUACAUGUUAAUUCAAAAUUAAGAAAAGCAAACAAACCCGUUAAUUUUUAAAAUUGAAUAAGGAUUGUGUUUCUUUUAUUCCCACUUUUUUUGUGUGUGUGUUAAUGGACACUGUUUCUUUACAUCACAAAGUUUUUAUAUUUCGGUAAAAAUAUUUAUAUGAUGUAGUGCAUAGAGAGAAUUUUGUUUUUUGAUGUUUCAAGAAGGAAUUCCCUAUUCUGUCCUCUCGCUUUCUCUCUCCUAUAUAUGGUUUUUACAUAUUUAUAAAUCAGAUUGUCAAGUUCUAAUCCUAAAAUGCUCUACAAUAUAAAUUUUUGAUUCCUUCUUGUGUUCUUCAUUUUCACAAUGCAAAAACCUCAUUUUACAACUUUGAAGCCUUCUAGGUGUGAGCACAAAACAUGCCCAAUACAAAAAAGUUAUUUUUAUUAUACCCCACAUAAAUCUAUUUAAUAAUAAUGUUGUGAGGGAGGCUCACGUAUACAUAUGUUAAUUAAUAAUAGACACCCUCUACAAGAAAGGAAAUAAUUCCCUUUUGUUCAGAACCCCUCGUAUGUAAAUUGUGCAUUUAAUGCUAAAGAAUAUAAAGUCUCUAAACUGGUUCUAUCUGUAAUCAAAUAAUGAAGAAAGAAAGUAGUUAAAUGAACAUACCAUUCAGGGUCGAAUACAUUCAGCAAAAAGCGGUAGUGGGUCUUUGAUCAUGGUUAGAUGCAUAGUGAUAUCAAACAGUUGGUUCUCAUGUAGCAGCUAAAUGUUUCAGAUUUUUGUUUUAUUAAAUUUGGCAGUUUCACACUGAGAUCUACUGUAUUGCUAUUGAAUAAAAGACAGCGCCUAUGUUAGAAAGUAUUCCAUUUUCACAAUUGCAGGGAACUGGGAGAUUUUUCAGAAACAUGGGCCACAAAAAUGUACUCCUUUCACAGUGUUCUCCUAUUUCUGAACUGUGCAGUUAUCUAUUAAAUUUUCUAAAAGAUAUUUGUGUAAGGUGUAUGUAUGCUUGUGCAAUUAUGAAAAAAGCAGUUUUGGAAAACAGUGUAUUUAUUUAAAAAGUCACUUAUGGGGCAUGUACAAAACUGUAUACAAACAUUCAGUUUGCCCAGUAAAGUUGUUUUUGUGAUAUUUCUGUGUUGUUAAAUAAAGGACUUUAGUAUUCAAAAUAUCUCUCUUUUUCCAUAGAUAGAUUUUUGUUUGUGGGAUCUUUAACAAUGAAAACAUUAUCCUUAGAAAACUAAUCUUCAAAAUAACCAAGAAGAUGAAAAUGUACCUGAAUGAACAUUACAAAGCUUUGGUACAAUAGUGGCAUAAAGUUUUUAAUUUUCAAUUGGCAGUUGAUGAAAAAGUUGUGUACAUGGAGAUGACACAGUACAAUUAAUUUUUAUGAGAGAAGACAUUUUAA